CAUUGAGAAGCUAAAUGCAUUAACCUUUUAAGUUAAAGACUGAGAGUUUUAAUCCCGCCUCAGUGA
Molecule: transfer RNA, 66 nt
Filed under: Equus asinus (donkey)
Lineage: Eukaryota; Metazoa; Chordata; Mammalia; Perissodactyla; Equidae
Also listed under: 1 other name
Rfam family: tRNA
About the family: Transfer RNA (tRNA) molecules are approximately 80 nucleotides in length. Their secondary structure includes four short double-helical elements and three loops (D, anti-codon, and T loops). Further hydrogen bonds mediate the characteristic L-shaped molecular structure. tRNAs have two regions of fundamental functional importance: the anti-codon, which is responsible for specific mRNA codon recognition, and the 3' end, to which the tRNAs corresponding amino acid is attached (by aminoacyl-tRNA synthetases). tRNAs cope with the degeneracy of the genetic code in two manners: having more than one tRNA (with a specific anti-codon) for a particular amino acid; and 'wobble' base-pairing, i.e. permitting non-standard base-pairing at the 3rd anti-codon position.
Source: Rfam by way of RNAcentral